RNAcentral lists this ribosomal RNA (567 nucleotides) under Syngnathus californiensis. RNAcentral's name for it is "partial large subunit ribosomal RNA". It matches the Rfam family "Bacterial large subunit ribosomal RNA", at positions 1817 to 2597 of the family's 2925-position model. The record is from RNAcentral. Lineage: Eukaryota; Metazoa; Chordata; Actinopteri; Syngnathiformes; Syngnathidae.
CGCCUCUUGCAUUCUAUGUAUAAGAGGUCCCGCCUGCCCUGUGACUAUAUGUUUAACGGCCGCGGUAUUUUGACCGUGCAAAGGUAGCGCAAUCACUUGUCUUUUAAAUAAAGACCUGUAUGAAUGGCAUGACGAGGGCUUAACUGUCUCCUUCUCCCGGUCAAUGAAAUUGAUCUCCCCGUGCAGAAGCGGGGAUAUUAUUAUAAGACGAGAAGACCCUGUGGAGCUUUAAAUAAUGAGAGAUUUUAUGCAACAAACCUAAAAAGGUAUAAGCGAAUUUAUACUCCCUCUAAUAUUUUUGGUUGGGGCGACCGCGGAGUAAAAAGAAACCUCCGUGAGGAAUGAGGUAAUUAACCUUAAAUCCCAGAACGACAAUUCAAAGAAACAAAAUUUUUGACCUAAAGAUCCGGCAAAGCCGAUCAACGAACCUAGUUACCCCAGGGAUAACAGCGCAAUCCCCUUCAAGAGUCCCUAUCGACAAGGGGGUUUACGACCUCGAUGUUGGAUCAGGAUAUCCUAAUGGUGUAGCCGCUAUUAAGGGUUCGUUUGUUCAACGAUUAAAAUCCU